Tachyglossus aculeatus (Australian echidna) is the source of this 138-nucleotide small nucleolar RNA. The record is from RefSeq and is a predicted model, not a curated record. NCBI's taxonomy places the organism in Eukaryota, Metazoa, Chordata, Mammalia, Monotremata, Tachyglossidae.
CUCCUCUCAGGCUGGCACCUGGAGAGUUUCCAGUACUCUACCAGGCUCCGCUACAGGAGGGAGAGUCAAGCAGAGGCCUACCCAUUCCAUUCCUAGCUUGGGCAAUGGCUAGUGAGUGGAAGGCAAUCUGCCACAAGU